AGAAGCACAUCAGGACCCCUAAGACUGUGACCCCCAGGAGUUUCUCACUCUCUAAUUAGUUCACAUUCACCUCCAGAAAUUCAUCAAAAUUAUCAUUUUACUGUUUUUACCAGUUGUUGACUCCAGCAGCUUCUGCUUCAGUAAAUCUUACUGCUGCUCACUUUUUGGGUCCACACUGCGUUUAUUAGCUGCAACGCUCACCGCUAUGGUCUGCAGCUUCACUCCUGAAGCCAGCGAGACCACGAACCCACCAGAAUGAAGAAACUCCGAACACAUCCAAACAUCAGAAGGAACAAACUCCGGACAGGCGGCCUUUAAGAACUGUAACACUCACCUCGAGGGUCUGCGGCUUCAUUCUUGAAGUCAGUGAGACCAAGAACCCACCAAUUCCGGACACAAUGUUACUCCAGAUAAUCAGCGCCAUUUUCUGAAGCUUGAGAUGCAGGAAAAGAGGAGUGCUAUCCAUUAGAUGGAGACAGGAAGUAGAAAAAGAGCUUAAAGUUUUGGCUUGUGUUACUUCCUUGGGGAGAUCUUGCUGGACCACAUCAGGAAUAGGAGGGGUGUGUCCCCACAGCACUGUGUACACGCACUUGGGCAAACAGCUGAUAGGAGUUCAUUUUGUGAAGCUGUCACGAGUUUUCCAGUAGACCAUGAGCUUGCUGAUGGCAGGAGCCUGCCUGUCCUUGAUCCUUGUUUCUGUGGGGUCUAUCCCAGUGCCUGGCACAGUGGCUUUGGAGAUGGAAGGAAUAGAGGGAGAGCAGAUCCUCAAACACAGCCUGCAUCUCUCCCUGCUCCCCUCCCACCCUCCAGUUUUCCAGCCAGAGGCAUUUGCUCUAAGGCCCAGGCUGUGGCCCACCUAUCACCGCUACCCAAGUAGUACAGGAAAAGGAAAUUUGAAGAGGAAAAGAGGCACCAGGGAUGAGGACACACCGAGAAAAGACCAUGUGAAGACAUGGCGAGAAGACAGCCAGCUGCAAGCCAAGGAGUGAGGCCUCAGAAGAAACCAACCCUGCCGACACCUUGACCUUGGACUUCUAGUCUCUAGAAUUAUGCGAAAAUAAAUUCCUGUUGUUUAAGCCA
Molecule: long non-coding RNA, 1080 nt
Filed under: Homo sapiens (human)
Lineage: Eukaryota; Metazoa; Chordata; Mammalia; Primates; Hominidae
Description: long independently transcribed non-coding RNA 2751 (LINC02751)
Source: RNAcentral